RNAcentral lists this unclassified non-coding RNA (200 nucleotides) under soil metagenome. Its description in RNAcentral is "partial contains internal transcribed spacer 2 and large subunit ribosomal RNA". The record is from RNAcentral.
UGUUCGAGCGUCAUUAGUACCAAUCAAGCUUGCGCUUGGUCUUGGGGUAUGCGGUUCCGCAGCCCUUAAAAUCAGUGGCGGUGCCUCGAGCUCUGAGCGUAGUAAUAUUCCUCGCUAUAGAGUCUCGGUGGUGUCUUGCCAGCAACCCCCUAUUUUUACAGGUUGACCUCGGAUCAGGUAGGGAUACCCGCUGAACUUAA